Molecule: non-coding RNA, 555 nt
Organism: Camellia sinensis
Lineage: Eukaryota; Viridiplantae; Streptophyta; Magnoliopsida; Ericales; Theaceae
Source: RefSeq, a predicted model, not a curated record
GCUUCAAAGUGCAUAAUUGCAUUCUCAUUGCAUCCUAGGCAUUCUUAAACCAUGAUUAAACUAUAAUAAUGAGGAUAAGAAGUAGGAACACACUAAGAAAGAAGCAUAAUGAGUUAAAAGAUUACAGAAAGUGUGUUUUGAUGUGUAUCCAUCACGUGUUUGUGUAGGUCAUGCGCCAUCAUUCGACCGAUUUGUCUACGUUGUUCAUUCUGCUUCUGGAGCUAUCUGUGACCAAGCGUGUGACUAGGCUUGAGACUUCCAGUCUAGAUCUAUUUCUGUCAAGCCAACCAUUUUACCUCAUGUGGAGGUUCUCGACAAUCUUUUGUGGUCAAGUUUUCGUGGGCAAUGUUUGUGACUAAGCUAUGAACAAGUCUUAAGUUUUUAUUUUCUUACGUUUUUUGGACAAGUUUUUGUUUACCUGUCAUAAGGCUAAGUCCCUUUUUGUUUUAUUUGUUAUGGGUGACGUAAGAAUAAUGCAUUUAUAUAUGUAUAUAAAGUUUGAAAUUUCUAUCCCAUAUAAGUCUACACAGCUCUAUGGACAUUGUAUAUUUGAUA